This is a long non-coding RNA of Rosa rugosa (rugosa rose), 1382 nucleotides long. RefSeq lists it as uncharacterized. The record is from RefSeq and is a predicted model, not a curated record. Lineage: Eukaryota; Viridiplantae; Streptophyta; Magnoliopsida; Rosales; Rosaceae. The transcript is spliced from 7 exons.
CCAAACAUAGCCAUACAAAGCCUCUCGACCCUACCUCGAUCCUCUCUCUUGAAUAGCCUCCCCGAAACGCCUCGAUCUCUCUCUUGUGAAUCUCUCAGUCUUCCUCGAAAGCUCUCUAUCUCGUGAAACCUCUCUCAGCCCUCUGUCCCCAGUUUCCAAUUCCUCACUUAAUUUCAACUCUCUAAAUCCCUAAAUCCCUAAAUCCUCCACCUUCACGGGGAGCUGACUACGAUGGCCUCGAUUCUCAAGCCGUCCAAUAGGGUGAGAUGGGAAGACGAUGGCGACUAGUAGUAGCGGCGGCGGUGUUUUGUUGGCCUUUCUGGAGAGGCAGAGGGCUAACUUCAACAAUGUUUUGAGAGAGAUGAGUAUUUUCGCUACUCAGGCGAUUGUAACGCCCAAUUCUGUGCUCAGUGAAGAGGCCUUCAAGGGGCUAGGGGAGUUUUUGAAGGAGGAACUGGACUCGGAGUCGGAGAGUGAGGUGGUUGAGCCGGCUAAUGAAGACGAGUUGGCUCUUUUGAAAUUGUGCUUGCCUCAGCGACUUGCGGAUAGCUUUGAGAGGCGUGGCAUUUCUUCGCUUUUUCCCAUUCAGAGUUGAUGAUGACUGCUGAGGAUGUAAUGAAUUGAGCAAUUACUGAUUGAUAUCUUAACCAGAUUUCACUUCCAGCAGGGAAUGCUGUCUACUCAGCAGAACUUCUUCAUUCAACAGGGCCACCUCCAGAAGGGCUUUGUCGUCUGCCUCACCUAAUUCACCUGCAUCACAGUCCAAACCCGCCGAAUUGUGAAGUCAAUUGAAAGUAAUUGUUCUGUUAAGAACUUGAUAGAUUGCCGGUAAGCUGAUGGUAUCUUGAAAAACCCAAGAACGGGAACAACUGUAUAUGCCAUUGAAGAUAUGUUCCGCUAGCUCAAUGGUGAAACAGAAAGCGACCACCUUCCGGAGGUUGUAACAGGUCUGCUAAUAGCCGAAGUUAAUGUAAAUACCAUGUCUGAACUCGGUUCUGGUGGUGUAUCACUGGUAUCCAUGGCAAUGAGGACUGUUGGUAAUGUGGGAGUUCAAAUUGCUUGGAAGCAUAUCAGAAUGACACAAGACCUUGUGAACGCUGUGGUUUGAUCACUCCAUAUAAAGUUAUUUGGACAACGUGAAAGGCUCACGUUCCGAAACUUCCGAAACCCAAGUUUUAUGUAAACAUUGCGCAAAGGUUCAAACUUGCCUCAUGUUGAAAGUUUUAUCAACUUCGAAGUCAAACUUUGUCAUUGUAAUUGUAUUCAUAUGUAGCUAGUUAGGAAUGGUAUGUUGUUUGGUACAUUAUUUAGUUACUUAAAUGUAUGGACGUUUGAAAAAUGGUACUUGAAUGAUAUGGAAUAGAGUACUGUGUAUGUGGUAA